This is a long non-coding RNA of Momordica charantia (bitter melon), 446 nucleotides long. RefSeq lists it as uncharacterized. The record is from RefSeq and is a predicted model, not a curated record. Lineage: Eukaryota; Viridiplantae; Streptophyta; Magnoliopsida; Cucurbitales; Cucurbitaceae.
UCAAUAAUAAUCUCCAAGAAGCAUAAACAUUCAAAUCCAAGAGGCAUGGCAUCUCGGAAGCUGUUCAUGGUGUCCAUUGCUGCCAUGCUCGUAUUUGCAUGUUAUGCUUCUUCAACUGAAGAAAAUGAUGAGGAUCAAAUUUGGACUUGCACUCGACCAUGUUCAAGCAAUUUUGGAGAUCUAGAAUGCGACGUAGGUUGCGUCAAUGGAAACGAAGGCAACGGAUUUUGUCUUCCACAGCAUGGUGACUUUAAUCACAAAGUUUGCUGUUGCAGUAGAAGUGAGCUGUUGCAAUAGUAAUCCAUGAAUUUAAGAAGGAUAUUUCAGUAUCUUCCAUUGGAUAUAAGUUCCAAACAAUUCUAUACCUUUUUCAAUGCAAAUAUGAAAUGAAAUGUGUGGUUGAAUACUAUAUUAUUCGGUUCGUUUUAGUUCCGGUGCUUUUAAAA